RNAcentral lists this unclassified non-coding RNA (242 nucleotides) under air metagenome. RNAcentral's name for it is "partial contains small subunit ribosomal RNA, internal transcribed spacer 1, and 5.8S ribosomal RNA". The stretch from base 1 to 46 matches the Rfam family "Eukaryotic small subunit ribosomal RNA", at positions 1786 to 1831 of the family's 1831-position model. The record is from RNAcentral.
AAGUCGUAACAAGGUUUCCGUAGGUGAACCUGCGGAAGGAUCAUUAAAAUUUAGCGGCCGCAAGGCAGCAACCGCCCGCCGCGAGGUGGGGUCGGCAUCCUUUGUCUACGUGUACCUCUUGUUGUUUCCUCGGCAGGCUUGCCUGCCGCCAGGAAUCCCUUGAACCCUUGUAUUUGAAGUAUCAUAAAACUCCGAUAACCACUUAAUUAUCACAACUUUCAACAAUGGAUCUCUUGGUUCUG